GUCCACAGCCUUUCCACCCUGAGCAAGCCCGAUGUCUGAUCUCGGAAGCUAAGCAGGGUCAGGCCCGGAUAGUACUUGGAUGGGAGACCACCUAGGAAGACCAGGUGCUAUAGUCA
RNAcentral lists this ribosomal RNA (116 nucleotides) under Pteropus alecto (black flying fox). The record is from RNAcentral. Lineage: Eukaryota; Metazoa; Chordata; Mammalia; Chiroptera; Pteropodidae.